This 558-nucleotide small RNA is filed under the name Pan troglodytes (chimpanzee). RNAcentral describes it as "processed transcript". The record is from RNAcentral. Lineage: Eukaryota; Metazoa; Chordata; Mammalia; Primates; Hominidae.
GCGCAUCACUAGGAUGUUACACAAAUUCUUUUUUGUUUGAAAAAUGUUCCAGAGAUAAAAGUGCAAAAGAAGAUAAUGAAGUGUUUUAAUAUGAAAUAUUCAAAACUGAAGCAUGAUUGUCUGCUUAAGACACUUCCCAAGUAUACAGGAUUAAUAUUUCUUUUCUCACAGCUGGCGCGGAGAUCUCCACCGUGAACCCAGAACAGUAUUCAAAGCGCUUUUUGGACUUUAUUGGCCACAUCUUGACGUAACCUCCUGCGCAGCCUCGGACAGACAUGAACAUUGGAUGGACAGAGGUGGCUUCGGUGUAGGAAAAAUGAAAACCAAACUCAGUGAAGUACUCAUCUUGCAGGAAGCAAACCUCCUUGUUUACAUCUUCAGGCCAAGAUGACUGAUUUGGGGGCUACUCGCUUUACAGCUACCUGAUUUUCCCAGCAUCGUUCUAGCUAUUUCUGACUUUGUGUAUAUGUGUGUGUGUGUUGGGGGGGGGGGGUGAGUGUGUGCGCGCGUGUGCAUUUUAAAAGUCAUAAAUUAAUUAAAACAGAUCCACUUCGGUCA